Long non-coding RNA from Mus musculus (house mouse), 1733 nucleotides. RefSeq annotates it as predicted gene, 41300. Lineage: Eukaryota; Metazoa; Chordata; Mammalia; Rodentia; Muridae. The transcript has 4 exons. The record is from RefSeq and is a predicted model, not a curated record.
UCACCACACCCACUAACAUCACAGUGGGAUGCAUGUGAUGUAGGCAGACAUAGGCUGCUGAGCAUUCUACAGCUGGAUCAACAGAUAGCAGAAGGAAACAGCCACUAUGCCUGGCUUGAGCAUGUGAGACCUCAGAUUCCUGCCCCCAGUGACACACUUCCUCCAACAAGGCCAUACCUCCUAGUAGUGUCACUUCCUGUGGGCCUAUGGGGGCCAUUUUCUUUCAAGUCACAACAAAGGAUGUGAACCGCAGCUGAGAAGACAGACACUAAUGAAGUACUUUAGAAAUGCAAAGAAAAGUAUACUGGGGACAUGGAUCCAGAGAACAAGUUGCUGCGUGUGAGCAUGGUUGUGUCAGGGGUCUCCAGGAGGAGCUGAACCACAGAAGGAACAAGCAUUAGAAGGAGUUGAAAGGUGCCACUCUUCAGCAAACCUCUUCGACUCUUCCUUCAAAACACAUUUGGAAUUUGACCUUCUUCCUGUCAGCACUGCUCUGGAGUUUCCAGCCGUCUUUAUUCUCCAUCCAGACUUUCCCAGCUUGUCAGUCCAAUCGCCUUGAGACACAGCCUGGAACUGUAACAGCCAAUUACAGUGCAGAAGCAUCGAGACCUGAUGGGUAUUGAUUAAAAUCACAGGGACACAGGGGAUAAAAGUCGGUCUUCUCCCGGUCGCUAGCCUGUGGCAUUCCCUCAGAUGUCUCAGAUAACCAACCAAAGCUGAUUUUUCUAAGAGAGAAAGAUGGUGCAGAUUUUCUUACUGUACUUUUAAGUUUUUUUAAUGUGCAUGUGUGCGUACAUCCAUGUAAUGCAUGCAUGUCUGUGUUAGUGUAUGCCACAUGACUGCAAGCACCUGCGAAGACCGGAAGGGGGUGUUGGGUCCCCUGGAACUGGAGUUUCAGGUGUUUGUGAACCAUGCGACUGCUGGGACCUGAAUCCAGGCUGCCUGUAACCUGCUUGCCACCUCUCCAGCCAUGUCCUCACUGUCCUAAUGAAGGGUCCUUUUUACCACCAGAUCCUUCAAGUUGCUCCUGUCUUUGCCUCUUGGCUUAGUGUUUCAUAGGUUUUUUGAUGGUUUUCUUUAUUAUUGUUUCAUUGCACAGGUUUUCUUCCCUCUCUGUUUCCCCCCUUCCUUAUCCUUUUACUUCCUAGAGUGCCAGGUUCCUUGCCACAGUGAGGCAAUGUCACAUUAGUGACUGUUUCAUGCCCGUCUUAUCAUGUUGUGAUUCACAUUGGUGAGUGUUCCAUACACGUCUUAUCAUGUUCACAUUAGUGAGUGCUGCAUACAUGUCUUAUCACGUUGUGAGGGCUGUUGGUUUUGCAGCAUUUACUGUGUAGUGGUUCAGUACAAUGCACCUUCAAUGCAUUGUCCUGCGUAACACUCAAAGCUACUGUAUGAGAUUCUGAGGUGGCUGGAACCACAGGAAACCACAAGGGACACCAAGCUGGCAGCAGCUCAGCCAUCCUCAAGGUCACUGAAUGCAGUCUCAGUUCUCGAGAGUAUCUGCCUUGGUCCUGGGCUCUAGAACUGUCAACUCCAUCACUGUUAACAUACAAGGGAGCAAGGCUUGCAUGCUACUAACCCUGGGCCACAGAGUCAAAGAUUAAGUAGAUUAAGCUGGUGCCAGCUCACAGGAAUGGUAACAAACACACAUGCUGAGUAUCCAAAGCCUUUAAGGGCAGCUUGUAAAACCUUAAAGGACAGUUGAGGCUCAGAUACCUGAGAAAGGCAUUUAA